GUGGGGAAUAUUGGGCAAUGGGCGAAAGCCUGACCCAGCAACGCCGCGUGAAGGAAGAAGGUUUUCGGAUCGUAAACUUCUAUCCUUGGUGAAGAUAAUGACGGUAGCCAAGAAGGAAGCCCCGGCUAACUACGUGCCAGCAGCCGCGGUAAUACGUAGGGGGCAAGCGUUGUCCGGAAUGAUUGGGCGUAAAGGGCGCGUAGGCGGCCCGGUAAGUCUGAAGUGAAAGUCCUGCUUUUAAGGUGGGAAUUGCUUUGGAUACUGUCGGGCUUGAGUGCAGGAGAGGUAAGCGGAAUUCCGUGUGUAGCGGUGAAAUGCGUAGAUAUACGGAGGAACACCAGUGGCGAAGGCGGAUUACUGGACGAUAACUGACGCUGAGGCGCGAAAGCGUGGGGAGCAAACAGGAUUAGAAACCCUUGUAGUCC
This 425-nucleotide ribosomal RNA is filed under the name uncultured bacterium. RNAcentral describes it as "partial 16S ribosomal RNA". It matches the Rfam family "Bacterial small subunit ribosomal RNA", at positions 354 to 796 of the family's 1533-position model. The record is from RNAcentral.